Molecule: ribosomal RNA, 903 nt
Filed under: uncultured Bacillota bacterium
Lineage: Bacteria; Bacillati; Bacillota
Description: bacterial SSU rRNA
Rfam family: Bacterial small subunit ribosomal RNA
Source: RNAcentral
UGGAUCCAGACUUUGAUCCUGGCUCAGGACGAACGCUGGCGGCGCGCCUAACACAUGCAAGUCGAACGAGCGAGAGAGAGCUUGCUUUCUCGAGCGAGUGGCGAACGGGUGAGUAACGCGUGAGGAACCUGCCUCAAAGAGGGGGACAACAGUUGGAAACGACUGCUAAUGCCGCAUAAGCCCACGACCCGGCAUCGGGUUGAGGGAAAAGGAGCAAUCCGCUUUGAGAUGGCCUCGCGUCCGAUUAGCUAGUUGGUGAGGUAACGGCCCACCAAGGCGACGAUCGGUAGCCGGACUGAGAGGUUGAACGGCCACAUUGGGACUGAGACACGGCCCAGACUCCUACGGGAGGCAGCAGUGGGGAAUAUUGCACAAUGGGGGAAACCCUGAUGCAGCGACGCCGCGUGGAGGAAGAAGGUCUUCGGAUUGUAAACUCCUGUUGUUGAGGAAGAUAAUGACGGUACUCAACAAGGAAGUGACGGCUAACUACGUGCCAGCAGCCGCGGUAAAACGUAGGUCACAAGCGUUGUCCGGAAUUACUGGGUGUAAAGGGAGCGCAGGCGGGAAGACAAGUUGGAAGUGAAAUCUAUGGGCUCAACCCAUAAACUGCUUUCAAGACUGUUUUUCUUGAGUAGUGCAGAGGUAGGCGGAAUUCCCGGUGUAGCGGUGGAAUGCGUAGAUAUCGGGAGGAACACCAGUGGCGAAGGCGGCCUACUGGGCACCAACUGACGCUGAGGCUCGAAAGUGUGGGUAGCAAACAGGAUUAGAUACCCUGGUAGUCCACACCGUAAACGAUGAUUACUAGGUGUUGGAGGAUUGACCCCUUCAGUGCCGCAGUUAACACAAUAAGUAAUCCACCUGGGGAGUACGACCGCAAGGUUGCAACUCAAAUGAAUUGACGGA